RNAcentral lists this transfer RNA (72 nucleotides) under Heterocephalus glaber (naked mole-rat). It matches the Rfam family "tRNA". From Rfam's summary of the family: Transfer RNA (tRNA) molecules are approximately 80 nucleotides in length. Their secondary structure includes four short double-helical elements and three loops (D, anti-codon, and T loops). The record is from Rfam by way of RNAcentral. Lineage: Eukaryota; Metazoa; Chordata; Mammalia; Rodentia; Bathyergidae.
UAGGGUGUAGCUCAGUGGCAGAGCACUUGCCUACCAUGUGUGAGACCUUGGGUUCAAUCCUCAAUACUAUAA